UACAGAGGUCUCAAGCGUUGUUCGGAUUCAUUGGGCGUAAAGGGUGCGUAGGCGGCGCGGUAAGUCGGGUGUGAAAUCUCGGAGCUUAACUCCGAAACUGCAUUCGAUACUGCCGUGCUUGAGGACUGGAGAGGAGACUGGAAUUUACGGUGUAGCGGUGAAAUGCGUAGAUAUCGUAAGGAAGACCAGUGGCGAAGGCAGGUCUCUGGGCCACUACUGACGCUGAGAAGCGAAAGCGUGGGGAGCGAACAGG
This 253-nucleotide ribosomal RNA is filed under the name uncultured bacterium. Its description in RNAcentral is "partial 16S ribosomal RNA". It matches the Rfam family "Bacterial small subunit ribosomal RNA", at positions 524 to 776 of the family's 1533-position model. The record is from RNAcentral.